Molecule: non-coding RNA, 3702 nt
Organism: Myodes glareolus (Bank vole)
Lineage: Eukaryota; Metazoa; Chordata; Mammalia; Rodentia; Cricetidae
Source: RefSeq, a predicted model, not a curated record
AGAGGCUACUCAGAUGGCACCCUUGUUCUCUUCAUGGAUCACUUCCGUAGCUUUCGGGAUCAGAAGGAAAACCAACGUGAACUUCUCAGCAUGAUUGAACAAAGGCUAAAACACCACAAGAAAUACUCUACGUCAGUGAGCCUUGGGCACACCCUUGAAGUCCUGCUGUUCGUACAAGGGCAGGAGAUACUCUUGCAGGUCCUUCCCGCCUUUGAUCCUCUAUCAGGCUUUGGUGAGAACUGCAGCUUCUGGAUCUAUCGGGAUCUCAAAAGAUCCAUGGAUCAAGUAGGAGCAGCGCCCGGUGAGUUCGCAGCCUGCUUCACCACGUUACAGCAGCAGUUCUUCCAGCGGUAUCCCAGGAGAGUGAGGGAGCUGAUCCUGUUGGUCAAGCACUGGUACCAGGAGUGCCAGAAGAAGUGGAUGACUCCCCCAUCUCCGCGGUUCUCCUACGCCCUGGAGUUGCUCACUGUGUAUGCCUGGGAACAGGGCUGCCAAGAUGAGGACUUUGACAUCGCAGAGGGUGUCAGGACCGUGCUGAGCCUCAUCAAGCAGUCAUCAAAGCUGUGUGUCUACUGGAUAGUCAAUUACAACUUCGAGAAUGUAACAGUUCGCAACACUCUUCUGUGCCAACUCAGGUCCCAAAGACCAGUCAUCUUGGAUCCAACUGACCCAACCAAUAAUGUGGGCAAAGACGACGGCUCCUGGGAGAUGCUGACAGAGGCGGCUCUGGCCUGGCUGUACUCUCCCAGCCUGAAUGAUAUGCCACCUGCACCAUGCUGGAAUGUUCUGCCCACAUCACUCUUCAUCACCCCAAGCCAUUUACUGGACAAAUUUAUCAAAGACUUCCUCCAGCCCAAUGAAAAGUUCUUGGACAAUAUCGGAAAAGCUGUUUACAUCAUCUGUGAAUUCCUCAAAAACAACUGCUUCAAGGACUCAAGCACCAAAGUGCAGAAGGUCGUCAAGGGAGGAUCCACUGCCAAAGGCACGGCUCUGAAGUAUGGAUCAGAUGCUGAUAUCGUAGUGUUUCUCAGUCCUCUGAAGAAUUUCGACUCCCAAAAAGAGGAGCGCUCACUGUUCGUCCAGGAAAUCCAGAGGCAAUUAGAAAUCUUCCAAAAGACCCAGGAGCUGGAGGUGAAGUUUGAGAUUUCAAAAAGGACGGCCCCCAGGGUGCUGAGCUUCACCUUGAAAUCCAGGAGUCUCAGCGAAAGUGUCGACUUUGAUGUCCUGCCCGCCUAUGACGCACUAGGUCAGCUGCAUCCUGGCUUCACCUCCAGACCCAAAGCCUACAAGGAGCUCAUUGCAUUAUGGAAAUCAUCAGGCUUCGAGGAGGGAGAGUUUUCCACCUGUUUUACAGAGCUACAGCGUGACUUUAUUGAACCCCAACCCACCAAACUGAAGAGUCUGAUUCGCUUGGUCAAGCACUGGUACAAACAGUGUAAAAGGAAAAUGAAGCCAAAACCAUCCUUGCCAAAACCAUCCUUGCCAAAAGCAUCCUUGCCCCCGAAGUACGCCCUGGAGCUUCUCACCGUGUACGCCUGGGAGCAGGGCAGCGGCAUGGAGGAUUUCGACACUGCUGAAGGCUUCCGGACGGUCCUGGACCUGGUCAUCAAAUACCAGCAGCUCUGCAUCUUCUGGACAGUCAACUACAACUUUGAAGAUGAGCUGAUAAGGACGUUCCUACUGGCUCAGAUCCAGAAAAAGAGACCAGUAAUCCUGGAUCCAGCUGAUCCCACAGGCGAUGUGGGAGGAGGUGACCUCUGGCAUUGGCAUCUUCUAGCCAAAGAAGCAAAUGAGUGGCUGUCCUCCUCCUGUUUUGAACUGCCAAGUGGAGACUCGGGGCAGAGAGUGCAGCCGUGGAAAGUGCCAGUAAGNGUGCCCUGAAGAAAGUGGGUGGCGCUGUCACAAAUCCAGUCAGAGGGCUUUCUUGCCAUAGUGAUUUGGAAUUACUGAGCCCCACAAAGAACAAAAACUGGACUCCAGGAGUUCUUUCAGUCAGUCAUCUGCCCUGCUCCGGGGACCUAAAGACCCAGACAACUGAGAGUCGGGAUGGUAGUACAGACCCCAGGAAGCUGUGGAGCUCAAAUCUACCCCACUGUGGGUAUCUGAGUUGGAGUCCAUCUCUGGGAUGAAAAUGCUAGAUGAAGCCUCUAGAGCCGGCUGGCAAUUGAGGCCCCCACCUCUCUCCUGCACUCCUGGAAGGCUCUGCUUGAAAUCAAGACUUCGGAUCUGCUCCUCCUCCCACCCCAGGGUCUCACAUUAUGGUCACCCCUCUGUGCAAGUGAACUUCAGAGAUACUUGCCUCUAUGCAGCGUGCUGUGUUCCCAUUCUAUUAUGGUGUUGGGUUUGUUGGUAUUUUUUUUCCUGUUUCCUUCUCUCCAGGCCUCUCUUCAGCUCAGGACUCAUUCUGUGUCACCAAGGUUGAGCCCCUCCCUUGCCCUUCAUUUCCAGCAGUCCCAGUUAGCUCUCAGUCUCUCACUGCGUCUUUGCUGAGCUCUUCCCUCCACCCACAGGCCUUCCCUGCCUGUGUGGAUGCAGAGGUGUCCAGCCCAGCAGACAGCCAACCCUCUCCCUCCACCCCUGCUUUUAAAACCCCUUCUCUUGGGGAAAUGUAAACAACAUGUACCCCUCCUCCUAAGGUCCCUGGACAAACCAAGGUGUGAGGAACCAAGGAAUUCAUUGGGUUUGCCUGCAGCAUGUGGGUGAGGGGUCACGGGCGGGGCUGAGGUGACUCUAACUCUGCUGCACUGGAAUGUCCACAGCCACCAUGAGUGGUGGCUUCCCCAGGGCUGCCUGGAGGGCACCCUAUCCCUUCAUCUUUCCCCUUAUAUCCUCUAACCCCUCCCAGAGACCACGUGUAAAUAGGGCAGAGCAGCAUACAGCUGGUUGAAACUGGUUGCUGAAUUCUCAAACAAGAGUCCUUAACCUUCCCACACCCCUCUUCCAAGGGGGAAGACAAACCGUCAGCAGGCCCAGCUGUGAUGUUCUCGGAUGAGCCGGCUCAGGUCGACCCCUGAAGAUGGUGGUAGUUUGUCUCAGAGGGUAGUCCUAUACAAAACUUCACACACCAAGGCUGGGUGAUACCUCCUGCCUUAGCCUUGAGAGUUGCGCUUACCUUCUUGGCUGUCCAGGGCCCUCAUCCCAGCAUUUCAACUCCAUUGGUGCAUAAGGGCUUAGCCCCAUGCAUCCUCACACAAGGCUGUCCCUUCUCUCCCUGGCUCUGACACACUGAGGGCCAGGCCGGCCCCUGUAUCACUUCUCGUCAUAGAACCGCAGCACCCAGGGCGUUUACUUCUGUAGGACUCCUUUGUCAUCUCUAGAUAUAAGCUAUUGAGGUGACUCAAGUUGGGCCCUCAGAGAGUUUCAAGGAAGGGGCUUGCCCAGGAAGGAACCCCAGACAAGUGACUAGAGGGCCAGAAUAUGAGAUGUGGUCCCUCUACAGGGAAGGGGUGGGGCUAGAGGUCAAGCCUAUGACCAAUGAUGGGACCAGGCACCCCUAAGUGUUGAGACCCCAUCAACGUCUUUGGAUAAGGAGGUUCUAGAAGUUGCCCCAUCAAGAAACAUCCCAUUGUAUCAAGAAAGGUAACGUCAUGCCUCCGUGGGGAUAGAUGCUCCUGGGUCUAUCAACUCCCUGGACUUCUACACUACAUAUCACAUUUGGCUAUUCAUUUCUAUGCUUUAUAAUAAACAGUGACCUUGAGUGCA